UACGUAGGGGGCGAGCGUUGUCCGGAGUUACUGGGCGUAAAGGGUGCGUAGGCGGGUCUUUUAAGUCAGGGGGUGAAAUCCUGGAGCUCAACUCCAGAACUGCCUUUGAUACUGAGGAUCUUGAGUUCGGGAGAGGUGAGUGGAACUCCUAGUGUAGAGGUGGAAUUCGUAGAUAUUAGGAAGAACACCAGUGGCGAAGGCGGCUCACUGGUCCGGU
This 217-nucleotide ribosomal RNA is filed under the name uncultured bacterium. RNAcentral describes it as "partial 16S ribosomal RNA". It matches the Rfam family "Bacterial small subunit ribosomal RNA", at positions 524 to 738 of the family's 1533-position model. The record is from RNAcentral.